GAAAUGGUGAAAAGAGGCAAUGGUAAAAUGCAUUGCAUAGAGAAUUGAUUAGUAAAUUUCUGUCACUACUCAAUUUUUAACAGAUACUUAUCUGAAGAUAUUAAAAUUUUAAUUUAUGUUAGUAUGAUUUGAUUAGCAUGGUUGGUUUUCUAUUGAACUAGCAGUGCUUCCAGCCAAUAAAUGCUUAAAUAAUGUAGAUGCCAAACUUGUGUCUGCAUUAUCUUAUAUGCCAUAUUGUGAGUACUGCAGUUCUGAAUCACCUUCAUAGAAUUGGUA
RNAcentral lists this unclassified non-coding RNA (276 nucleotides) under Hevea brasiliensis (rubber tree). The record is from RNAcentral. Lineage: Eukaryota; Viridiplantae; Streptophyta; Magnoliopsida; Malpighiales; Euphorbiaceae.